ACGUAGGUGGCGAGCGUUGUCCGGAAUUAUUGGGCGUAAAGCGCGCGCAGGUGAUUAUACAAGUCUCAUUUAAAAGUGCUGAGCUCAACUCAGUGAUGGGUGAGAAACUGUAUGACUUGAGUGCAGGAGGGGUAGGCGGAAUUCCUAGUGUAGCGCUGAAUUGCGUAGAACUUAGACGGAACGCCAGUGGCGAAGGCAGCCUACUGGAUGGCAACCAACACUGGGUCGCGAAAUCCACGAGAGCAAACGG
Molecule: ribosomal RNA, 250 nt
Filed under: uncultured prokaryote
Description: partial 16S rRNA
Rfam family: Bacterial small subunit ribosomal RNA
Source: RNAcentral